GAUGAACGCUGGCGGCGUGCCUAAUACAUGCAAGUCGAGCGAACGGACGAGAAGCUUGCUUCUCUGAUGUUAGCGGCGGACGGGUGAGUAACACGUGGAUAACCUACCUAUAAGACUGGGAUAACUUCGGGAAACCGGAGCUAAUACCGGAUAAUCUUUUGAACCGCAUGGUUCAAAAGUGAAAGACGGUCCUGCUGUCACUUAUAGAUGGUUCCGCGCUGCAUUAGCUAGUUGGUAAGGUAACGGCUUACCAAGGCAACGAUGCAUAGCCGACCUGAGAGGGGGAUCGGCCACACGGGAACUGAGACACGGUCCAGACUCCUACGGGAGGCAGCAGUAGGGAAUCUGCCGCAAUGGGCGAAAGCCUGACGGAGCAACGCCGCGUGAGUGAUGAAGGUCUUCGGAUCGUAAAACUCUGUUAUUAGGUAAGAACAUAUGUGUAAGUAACUGUGCACAUCUUGACGGUACCUAAUCAGAAAGCCACGGCUAACUACGUG
Molecule: ribosomal RNA, 497 nt
Filed under: uncultured bacterium
Lineage: Bacteria
Description: partial 16S ribosomal RNA
Rfam family: Bacterial small subunit ribosomal RNA
Source: RNAcentral